CGUCACGUGACGUGCGUGGCGACGUGUCGGCCAUCUUGUGUUGUUGAGGCUGAGGACUGACUUGGGUUCUGAGACUCCCUGUCCCGGACCGCAGUGUUAAAAGGAUCUGAACAAAGUCUGCUCAAAUCUCCUGCUGUGAACCAGCAGAAUUUUUGAACAGAGACCACGUCUCCAACUCCUGGGCUCCAACGAUUCUCCCAUCUCGGCCUCCCAAAGCGCUGGAGUUACAGGUUUCUUCACAUAUAAAAAUCUAUUGUAAAAAUACGGAAAAGAAUGGCAGCGGAAACGCAGACACUGAACUUUGGGCCUGAAUGAUAUGUUUGGACCCCGAAUAUGGAAUUCUCAUGGAAUUUUGAGAUCCAUCACAUUGUAGUGUGGCUUCCCCCCCCCCCUUCCUUUUUCCCCAAAGUUGGUGAUUGAAGAACCUCUCUUCAGUGGCAUCAAUAAUAAUAAUUACUUUUUCUAUUCAAACCUCGGGCAACCCCUUUGGUAAUAUCAGAAGCAGUAUCUAAAAUAGAUAAAUUGGAUUUGUGUCUUAAACUCUUGGUUGUUCAGGUGGGAGUGGUUCAAUAAAUGAUGCAGACUUCCCGUAGUAACUCUAUUUGAGGAGUCUUAUUAACUUACCCUAUUAGAAAUAUUUCUUUUUAUUAAUAUAUGUAAUCUGGAAGUUUUCUUAACCUUUAUAGCCAGCAUUUGGAGACUGAGGAGAAAUCACUAUUUGAAGUUCUAAGAACUGAUGGAACUCCUGUAUUUUGAGAGUUU
RNAcentral lists this small RNA (762 nucleotides) under Pongo abelii (Sumatran orangutan). RNAcentral's name for it is "processed transcript". Lineage: Eukaryota; Metazoa; Chordata; Mammalia; Primates; Hominidae. The record is from RNAcentral.